AUUGAACGCUGGCGGCAUGCUUUACACAUGCAAGUCGAGCGGCAGCACGGGGGCAACCCUGGUGGCGAGCGGCGAACGGGUGAGUAAUACAUCGGAACAUGCCCAGUCGUGGGGGAUAACACUUCGAAAGAAGUGCUAAUACCGCAUACGUCCUGAGGGGGAAAGCGGGGGAUCGCAAGACCUCGCGCGAUUGGAGUGGCCGAUGUCGGAUUAGCUAGUUGGUGGGGUAAAGGCCUACCAAGGCAACGAUCUGUAGCUGGUCUGAGAGGAUGAUCAGCCACACUGGGACUGAGACACGGCCCAGACUCCUACGGGAGGCAGCAGUGGGGAAUUUUGGACAAUGGGGGCAACCCUGAUCCAGCCAUUCCGCGUGAGUGAAGAAGGCCUUCGGGUUGUAAAGCUCUUUCGGCAGGAACGAAACGGUGAGCUCUAACAUAGCUUGCUAAUGACGGUACCUGAAGAAGAAGCACCGGCUAACUACGUG
Molecule: ribosomal RNA, 484 nt
Filed under: uncultured bacterium
Lineage: Bacteria
Description: partial 16S ribosomal RNA
Rfam family: Bacterial small subunit ribosomal RNA
Source: RNAcentral